Molecule: ribosomal RNA, 331 nt
Filed under: uncultured Actinomycetes bacterium
Lineage: Bacteria; Bacillati; Actinomycetota; Actinomycetes
Description: bacterial SSU rRNA
Rfam family: Bacterial small subunit ribosomal RNA
Source: RNAcentral
GACGAACGCUGGCGGCGUGCUUAACACAUGCAAGUCGAGCGCGAAGGGGCCCUUCGGGGCCCUGGAGAGCGGCGAACGGGUGAGUAACACGUGGGUAACCUGCCCCAAGGACUGGGAUAACUCCGGGAAACCGGUGCUAAUACCGGACGUUCUUGCACUCCGCAAGGAGUGCAAGCAAAAGGUAGCUUCGGCUUCUGCCUUGGGAUGGGCCCGCGGCCUAUCAGCUUGUUGGUGAGGUAACGGCUCACCAAGGCGACGACGGGUAGCUGGUCUGAGAGGACGAUCAGCCACACUGGGACUGAGACACGGCCCAGACACCUACGGGUGGCUG